UCUCUCUCUCUGCGGAAGCCAGCCACCGCUCUCCAAGGACUCUCGAGCAGCUCCAUCUACAGAUUCACAUGGAGAAGAAUUAAGGGUUCCUGCCAAUCACCAGCACCACUUUGCCAGCCUUGUAAGUGGGCCACCUUGGAAUUGGAGCCUCCAGUUCCUACUGACAUCUGACUGCAACAUCAUGAGAGACCCUGAGUUUGAACCACCCAGCUGAGCUGCUUCUGAGCUAACCCACUGAAACCGUUCCUUAGAUCCUGGGAUGAGGAGGUGGACCAGCAGAAGGUGGGCUUGUGAAGGCAGCCCGGGGUCCAAAUCCUCCUGGCUCUUCAGCUUAGCGGGGUUGCUUAGACUCAGUGGUGUGCUGGAGCAGGCUCCUACCAGCUAGAAAGAACCAGUUCAAUACGUCUCUUCUCAACUCCAUGUUCAGAGUUGUCAGAGAACCAAUUGUUAAAUAUUUACUGGCACUCCACUGCUUAGAUUUUACCAGUGCUUGCAGUGCUAACCAGGAGCUCAUCCCUGGAGGAGAGGCAGAGAAUGUGUACUCCCAGAUGCAGCCAGCUUCCAGAAGAAGAGGUAGGAGCCAAGCAGAGCAUGCCCACAUCAAUCUUCCAGCAUUUAAUGGCCAUAGAAGUUACUGAACCUCCCUUGGAUGGAUAGAAGAUGGCAUUAUCUUUCUUAAAUAUGAUACCUCUUAUCUUUUUGUUCCCUUGACACUUGAGGAGGGAGGCCAAGGGUUGAUCAUGCAAGCAAGUUUGUGCAUUUUGCACAUUUAUUAAGUUAUGCUUUUGAGGAAAUUAAAAGAUCACAAGGGCUUCAA
This 817-nucleotide long non-coding RNA is filed under the name Homo sapiens (human). Its description in RNAcentral is "long intergenic non-protein coding RNA 658". The record is from RNAcentral. Lineage: Eukaryota; Metazoa; Chordata; Mammalia; Primates; Hominidae.